AGCGGGGUAGAGCAGUAGUAGCUCGCCAGGCUCAUAACCUGGAGGUCGUAGGUGCAAAUCCUGCCCCCGCAACCA
Molecule: transfer RNA, 75 nt
Filed under: Minisyncoccota bacterium
Lineage: Bacteria; Bacillati; Minisyncoccota
Description: tRNA-Met
Rfam family: tRNA
About the family: Transfer RNA (tRNA) molecules are approximately 80 nucleotides in length.
Source: RNAcentral